Molecule: long non-coding RNA, 1192 nt
Filed under: Homo sapiens (human)
Lineage: Eukaryota; Metazoa; Chordata; Mammalia; Primates; Hominidae
Description: prostate cancer associated transcript 19
Source: RNAcentral
GUUAUUUGGCUGGAGUGAGGUCUCAUGUCUGCUUAUGCGGUGGCUCGCUGCUCAGAACAGGCCUAGCUAGAUGCCUGGAAUUUCCCUUGAAGGAAGUCAAGAUUUUCCUUUAUCUCCAUACUGGCUGAUGGUGAUCGAGUAAGCCCCUAAGAGGGGUCCCUGCUCCAUCUCGAGAUGCUGCUAGAUUCUACAGUGCCUAAUAAACAGCUCUCGCCUGGCCGACAAAGAGCUGCUUGCUCUCUGGAUAGCAAUUCCAAAGUGAACAGACAACAUCCUGUUUGGAAGACUGCCACUCUGUUAGAAGAAGCAUCAGGAAAACCUUUCUUUUGAGCUAUUUAUAACUAACAGCAAUUGACCAAGUAUACUUUUGAACCAUUGGAGAUACUCAUUACUCUUUGAAGGCUUACAGUGGAAUGAAUUCAAAUACGACUUAUUUGAGGAAUUGAAGUUGACUUUAUGGAGCUGAUAAGAAUCUUCUUGGAGAAAAAAAGACUGGGUAUAUUUUCAAUAUGCUUUCCUUUUAAGGUCCCUCACCUGUGGAAAGUAAAGAAUGUCACUUUCUGACAGGCUCAGGAACCUCAAGUUAUGUAGGGAUCUCAAGAAGAUGGGGGAAUUCACCCAGUUCAUACAGGUGAAAUUGCUGUUGCAAAGAUUAUGAAUAUGAGAGAAGUCCAGCAUGGCUGACUUCAUCUCGUGUCUGGCCUCAGGCUGGCUGCCCUUGCUCACUCUUGGGCAUAGGCCAAGCUAGCCAUGGGAGGAAUUUAGUUUAUAGUUUAACUUUGAAGCACGGAUGAUAAUAGUCUCUCCCUAAAAUGAACCCCUUCCUUGCUCAGGGACUGAAACUACCUUUGUAUGACAAAUGAAAGCCCACAAGAUUAAGAUUAUGAGAGGGGCCUGAAUUCUGCUAAAAUGCAGGUGUAGCUGACUGAUAACAAGUCAUUGUCCCACAGCUUGCCUUUCUAUAAUCUCUUGCUUCUCAGGAGUCACAUGGCCAGAGGUCCUGAGAUUUCCAGUCCUGUGACCCCCACCCAGAGAUGGACUUAGUGCAUGAGGACCAUUUUCCACACCCCUAUGAUUUCAUCCUCAAACAAUCAGCAGCAACCAUUCCCUAGCCCCCUGCCUUCCAAAUUAUCCAUAAAAAUCCUAGCCUCUGAGUUAUUAGGGAGAUUGAUUAAUAAUCCCAGUCCUACCC